GUCCUCUCAGGGUUAGUCGGGACCUAAGCCGAGGCCGAAAGGCGUAGGCGAUGGACAACAGGUUGAUAUUCCUGUACCACCUCUUCAUCAUUUGAGCAAUGGGGGGACGCAGGAGGAUAGGGUAAGCGCGCUGCUGGAAUAGCGCGUCCAAGCAGUUAGGCUGGGAAAUAGGCAAAUCCGUUUCCCUCAAAGGCUGAGCUGUGACGGCGAGGGAAAUAUAGUACCGAAGUUCCUGAUUCCACACUGCCAAGAAAAGCCUCUAGCGAGAUGAAAGGUGCCCGUACCGCAAACCGACACAGGUAGGCGAGGAGAGAAUCCUAAGGUGAGCGAGAGAACUCUCGUUAAGGAACUCGGCAAAAUGACCCCGUAACUUCGGGAGAAGGGGUGCUUUUUAGGGUGUUAAAGCCCGGAAAAGCCGCAGUGAAUAGGCCCAGGCGACUGUUUAG
This 446-nucleotide non-coding RNA is filed under the name Mesobacillus campisalis. RNAcentral describes it as "Bacillus campisalis Bacterial large subunit ribosomal RNA". It matches the Rfam family "Bacterial large subunit ribosomal RNA", at positions 1368 to 1807 of the family's 2925-position model. The record is from Rfam by way of RNAcentral. Lineage: Bacteria; Bacillati; Bacillota; Bacilli; Caryophanales; Bacillaceae.